This 205-nucleotide ribosomal RNA is filed under the name uncultured Streptococcus sp. Its description in RNAcentral is "partial 16S ribosomal RNA". It matches the Rfam family "Bacterial small subunit ribosomal RNA", at positions 370 to 546 of the family's 1533-position model. Lineage: Bacteria; Bacillati; Bacillota; Bacilli; Lactobacillales; Streptococcaceae. The record is from RNAcentral.
AAUGGACGGAAGUCUGACCGAGCAACGCCGCAUGAGUGAAGAAGGUUUUCGGUAUCGUAAAGCUCUGUUGUAAGAGAAGAACGAGUGUGAGAGUGGAAAGUUCACACUGUGACGGUAUCUUACCAGAAAGGGACGGCUAACUACGUGCCAGCAGCCGCGGUAAUACGUAGGUCCCGAGCGUUGCUCGGUCAGACUUCCGUCCAUU